Molecule: unclassified non-coding RNA, 337 nt
Filed under: soil metagenome
Description: partial contains 5.8S ribosomal RNA, internal transcribed spacer 2, and large subunit ribosomal RNA
Rfam family: 5.8S ribosomal RNA (bases 1-120)
Source: RNAcentral
GAUGAAGAACGUAGCGAAAUGCGAUAAGUAGUGUGAAUUGCAGAAUUCAGUGAAUCAUCGAAUCUUUGAACGCACAUUGCGCCCUUUGGUAUUCCAAAGGGCAUGCCUGUUCGAGCGUCAUUUGUACCCUCAAGCUUUGCUUGGUGUUGGGCGUCUUGUCUCUAGCUUUGCUGGAGACUCGCCUUAAAGUAAUUGGCAGCCGGCCUACUGGUUUCGGAGCGCAGCACAAGUCGCACUCUCUAUCAGCAAAGGUCUAGCAUCCAUUAAGCCUUUUUUUCAACUUUUGACCUCGGAUCAGGUAGGGAUACCCGCUGAACUUAAGCAUAUCAAUAAGCGA